Molecule: ribosomal RNA, 476 nt
Filed under: uncultured bacterium
Lineage: Bacteria
Description: bacterial SSU rRNA
Rfam family: Bacterial small subunit ribosomal RNA
Source: RNAcentral
GAUGAACGCUGGCGGCGUGCCUCAAACAUGCAAGUCGAGCGAGGCUAUGAGUUACCGCAAGGUAAGGCAUAGCCUAGCGGCGAACGGGUGAGUAACACGUGGGUAACCUACCUGGAAGACAGGGAUAACGAUUCGAAAGGGUCGCUAAUACCUGAUAAUAUCCAUCUGCCGGAUGGCGGAGGGAAGAAAGGGGAAACCCGCUUUCAGAUGGGCCCGCGUCCCAUCAGCUAGUUGGUAAGGUAAAGGCUUACCAAGGCGACGACGGGUAGCCGGUCUGAGAGGAUGUACGGCCACACUGGGACUGAGAUACGGCCCAGACUCCUACGGGAGGCAGCAGUUGGGAAUCUUAGGCAAUGGACGAAAGUCUGACCUAGCGACGCCGCGUGAGGGAAGAAGGCCUUCGGGUUGUAAACCGUCUGUCAUGGGGGAAGAAGGAAGUGACGGUACCCCAAGAGGAAGCCCCUGCUAACUACGUG